RNAcentral lists this transfer RNA (67 nucleotides) under Marmota monax (woodchuck). RNAcentral's name for it is "tRNA.Ala". The stretch from base 6 to 62 matches the Rfam family "tRNA", at positions 8 to 63 of the family's 71-position model. Rfam says of the family: Transfer RNA (tRNA) molecules are approximately 80 nucleotides in length. Their secondary structure includes four short double-helical elements and three loops (D, anti-codon, and T loops). Further hydrogen bonds mediate the characteristic L-shaped molecular structure. tRNAs have two regions of fundamental functional importance: the anti-codon, which is responsible for specific mRNA codon recognition, and the 3' end, to which the tRNAs corresponding amino acid is attached (by aminoacyl-tRNA synthetases). tRNAs cope with the degeneracy of the genetic code in two manners: having more than one tRNA (with a specific anti-codon) for a particular amino acid; and 'wobble' base-pairing, i.e. permitting non-standard base-pairing at the 3rd anti-codon position. The record is from RNAcentral. Lineage: Eukaryota; Metazoa; Chordata; Mammalia; Rodentia; Sciuridae.
GGAUAUGGCUCAGUGGUAGAGCAUCUGCCUAGCAUACACAAAACCCUGGGUUCAAUCCCCAGCACCA